Molecule: ribosomal RNA, 253 nt
Filed under: uncultured bacterium
Lineage: Bacteria
Description: partial 16S ribosomal RNA
Rfam family: Bacterial small subunit ribosomal RNA
Source: RNAcentral
GACGAACCGUGCGAACGUUGUUCGGAUUUACUGGGCUUAAAGGGCGCGUAGGCGGCUUGCCAAGUCAGGGGUGAAAUCUUUCGGCUCAACCGGAAAACAGCUUCUGAUACUGGCGGGCUUGAGGGAGGUAGGGGCGGAUGGAACUUCCGGUGGAGCGGUGAAAUGCGUAGAUAUCGGAAGGAACGCCGGUGGCGAAAGCGAUCCGCUGGACCUCCUCUGACGCUGAGGCGCGAAAGCCAGGGGAGCAAACGGG